CCCGUGUCCUCUGAGCCAGCCCGUCCUGCGGUCGCUCAUCCAGCAGCUGUCCCUCCAACCUCACCACCCGCUCAGAGCUCAAAAUCAGUUACCUGGAGGACGCUCUGAUGAACCUGGACCACGGGGACCCCCUGACCAGAGACCACAUGGCGUCGGUGCUGGCCCAGGUGCGGCCUAAGCUGUUCUCCUUCCUGCAGCAGGACCCCCACAGCCCCCUGAGCAAGAGGGCGCGGCGCCUCAUGAUGAUGCUGCAGGGACUGGUCAACCACUAGACCCACGCACGGCGGCCGCUCCGGUGCUGGAGGGAGGGGGAGGAGCCUAACAAGCACCGGGACGCAUUUCCAGAUGGGGGGGGGGGGGGGGGGGGGGGGGGGGGGGGCACUUUGGAGGCGGAGGGAAACGAAGGAUCAUGUGACUCCGAGGCCUGGAUGUGAAAACGCAGCGUCUGCCAUCAGUAGAAGAGUCCCGUUCACAGCGGCUCCGACCGCACCGCCACAGGAGUCCCAGCUCAGACACGUUUGCGUUCUUCAUCAGACCUUCGAUGCAGGACGAGAAUCAGAUGAUUUGUGUUAAAGACAGACUUUUGUGGGGUUUGUUUUUUUUGUUACUGCUGCUUUUUCUGCUCGUUUCAUCCUUUUGUUCAAAACCGACGAGCAGAAAAGACACGAGGCCGGGACACGUCCGCUCGUCAAUUUACGACACGAAACCCGAAACCGACUCCGUUUAUGACUCGACGUCACCUGAAAACUCCCACUGACGUCCCACCACUGGCGCCGUUUUUCUUUCCUUCUGCCGUUCUGUCAUUCAGAUGGACUUCGGUUUUCGACUUCGGAAUCGGACGAGCGAACCACCUCGAACGUCGCCGCUUUGUGUUUUGCGGCGGGUUCGGACGUCGACUUUUCAGACCGACAUCUUCAGCAGGAAUCCAGAUUAAGAAGAAAAAGAAGAAAAAAAACACCAAACAAACAAACACCUGAGAACAACGAAACCUGGCAACGGACAGUUAUGCGCCGGCGCCCACGUUUCCCUUCAGUUAUUUCUUAAUAAGUCGGGGACGUUCCACCCAAAAGAAACCACAGCUGCGUCUGGCUUUGUGAAUCUGGCGUCUCAUCGUUACUCGUCCCUCGUUCCGUGGAAGUUUUCCUGAGGACGACGAAAGAAAGCAAGAAAGACAGAACGAGGCAGAAAUGCCAGGUUCCACCUGUUCGCCCCGGCAGCCGUCCGUCCAGCUCAGUCCUGUAAAUGAAGCGCACCAUCCCUGCGUCUCCUCCCCUUUUUUUCUACACAUUUAGCGUUUGUAAGACUUGUAUUCUUUAACAGGUGUCAGACUAGUUUGAAUGCAUCCUCAUCAGAAUAAUAAUAAUUAUAAUAAU
Sphaeramia orbicularis (orbiculate cardinalfish) is the source of this 1373-nucleotide long non-coding RNA. RefSeq lists it as uncharacterized. The transcript has 2 exons. The record is from RefSeq and is a predicted model, not a curated record. Lineage: Eukaryota; Metazoa; Chordata; Actinopteri; Kurtiformes; Apogonidae.